Molecule: long non-coding RNA, 15767 nt
Organism: Falco peregrinus (peregrine falcon)
Lineage: Eukaryota; Metazoa; Chordata; Aves; Falconiformes; Falconidae
Exons: 2
Source: RefSeq, a predicted model, not a curated record
GUGAUGGACUUUUACUUGAGGAGUCGUAUUGCCUUCAGUUGGAUUCUCAGCAUGUGGGAAUUAACCUACAUCAAAGCAGAAUUGUAUGGUGCCUCAAAAAAACCAACAAAAAAACCCCAACAACUGAGGUUUGUGUUGUAGUUUCAAAAGUCGUAAGUAGCUGCGUCUAGCUAUACCACAGGCCCUUGUUAUUACCUGCUUUCAUUGUUUUGUUACUCGGAGAUGUAGCUUUAUGUGAGUUGCUUGAGCCCUGUGUGGUUUAUAGUGUAGGUUUAAAUGAAAAACAAAACAGUGCCAUCAUGAUUGUUAAAAUCUAUUCUGGUUUUGAAGAUAUCAUUCUUUGGGCACUGUUCCUUUAGAAACUUAUUUUUGCCAACAGUUUUACUUUGGCUUGCAAGAUCGCAUUUUAAAUUGAAAGAUGAGGAUACUUGACUCCUCUGAAUAUUUAAGAGUUGUAAAUAAUGAUUGUGAUAUAAAGAAAACUUGUAUCCCAUUACUUUUAUGGUGGAUGAUUCAUCUCUGUGUCAGUUUGAUAAAUUAACUCAGAGUAUAAAUAUUCUUAAGUAAUUUUAAUGCUUUUUAUUAUCAUUAUUAUUAUUAUUAUUUUCCCCCCUCUGCCCCAUUUUCUUCUCCCCAAAUUCAGUAAUUUUCUGAGCAUGACAAGGUAUUCAGCCUUUUGCCAAAGCCAAUAGAUCCAGGUCUCUUGCUUAAUCUUCUCCUUUCCCCUUUUUUGAAGAGUGGAUCUAGGACACUGUUGUUUGCUCUGUCACAGCAGACUGCUGCCAGUAUUGGCUAUGACUCCAGAAGAGUCCGCCAAGUCCGGGGGACGAAGAGUUUUGUUCAAAUCCUCAUGCACUGAGACCGAAGCCAGCUUUUACCUAUCUUGAAGAAUAAGCAAAGGGGAAAAAAUGUCACUGUUCAAGUACAAGGCAUGUAAUUGGCAGUAGCAAGUAACAACUUCCUGCUGCUAAAAAUAUUUUGCUUUAUUUCAUUUUGCUAGCAUUAGCAAGUCAGCAGUCUGUUCUGAAAAACAGGAUUUUAAAUGGCACAUGAAAACUCGGCUAUUUGAAACAGUAAGUGAACAGCAUUUUUUCUUUCCUGGUGCCCUAAGCUACCUAAUUACUGCAAAUUAAAUUGAAACAGGUGUGUUCAGAGGCAGCUGAGCUAACAUUGCCUUGUCCCAACUCUAAUUAGAACCCUUGACAACUGAAGUUGUAGCAUUUUGGCGAUUAUACAUCAUUUUGAGUUUUGCACCAUUUUCUGCUCUUCCUGCAGUUUCUAUCAGGAGACUAUUCAAGCCACUAAUGCAAAGUGGUAAUUCAUUUUGGUGACAAGCGCAUGCAGAUGGGAAAGUGGUGGGCUCCUAGCAAGGUGGCUUGUAACAAGGUCAGAGCAUAGUGCAAAAUGGUUGAAAUGAUAUCAUGGAAGGAAUAGAAACUAUUACCACGCCAAACCCAGUUUUUUAGAUUGUUUUUGCGGUGUCAAUAAUUGCAGAUGCAGUGGAUACAGACUUUGGUUUCGUUCCCUUGAUGCAGGGUGAGAAGCAUUUACAAAGGUCCACAUUUCAUGACGUUUGUAAGGUCUGCAUUUCAUGACACUCUUGGAAAACGGUGAAGUCCCACACUUGCAUCCGUCUUCUUCCAUCUUCCUUGGCUUGUGAGUGAAAUCCCAACUAACCCAGAGAUGCAUUGUGACGUAAGAUUGGAGAUCUGUUAGGUGUGUGCUGUAAAGGGGUCCCAAAUCCCCGAGUUUUGAGGUCACUUUUGGGAUGUUAGAGAACUUCUCUGUAGAGUUUUCCCUCAGUCUGCAGGUAGCUACAGCGAGGACGGUGUGACUGGCCUGGCCUGUUUGCUGAGGAUGGUGUGGCUCUGUGUCCCAGAUGGUGCCUAGCUCGGGUUGGACAAACAGAUUGAGUUUUAGCCCAGAAAAAGUUGGACUGUUGGUUGGUAUUGAGAAGCAGCCAGAGGCAAUAUUAGUCCUUGAAGACAGUGGGCCUGCUGUUAGAUCUCUAGUCAAAUGAAAACUUUAAUAGUCAAAAUUAGCCCAGCUGCUUGACAGCAAGAAGUAAUCCAGAUAGGUUUUUGACUGGCUGGCCUGUUUCAACUUGGCCCCUUUUCACUACGCUUAAAAAAAAAAAUCAUUUUUAAGUUGAUACCAGAGCACAGGGCAGGGGUUCGUUUGCUGAAAGGGCAUCUUGACAGCGCUUAGUGGCACUACAGCUCCGGGACCGGCCUGUUGAUUGCCAGGCGGCAUUUGAAGUACUUUGUAGAAUCUAUAAGGAUCACAAAGAGUUCCCUUUUCACUGCUGGGUUACAUGUUGUUGGGACAGUCACAGUAGCAGGUGCAGGGGCAUCCAGAGCCCUGAGCUGGUAUGUCUUAUCAGUUGUAUCUACAUUUAGAUGAAGAGAGUGGAAAAGAAUGCAACUGUUUUUUCAUUCAUCCCUAAUCUUUCACUCUUGACACCUUUAGGGGUGUUUACGUAUCGUAAUAAGAUGUUAACGAGAUAGAUGCCGUGUAGUUUUAGGAGGAGCAAACUCAGGGCUCUGCUUCUUGGGGUUUUCCUUUUUUUUUUUCCUUUUCUUUUUUUCUUUUUUUUUUUUUCUCCCAGGAUUUUUUCCCAGGGUUUGUUCCCAGUUUUUUCCUGUUUGUUUUUUUUCUGGGUGUUUGUCCAGGUUUCACUAUUUUUUUCUGGGUUUGACCCUUUUUCUGCCUUUCUUUUUUCUAGUUUUGACCAGUUUUGUUUGAGUUUGGAGGGUUUGGGGUGAAGUUUUUAGUGCAGCCAAGGUUUUGUGGGGGGCAGCCAAAAUAAUUAUGAACCUUACACAGGAGUAUGCCAAAAAUGCAAAGGCAGUGAUUUAAUACUUCCAGAGUAAUAAGAAUGGUUGAAUGCUCAACCAUCGUUCCCUUCCAUGGCUGUGAUUUUUAACUGCUAAUCUCUAGCCCAGUUAAGGUAGCUUAUGUCUGAGGAAGGUCUCUCUUUUGGGUUUACUUGUUUAUGAAAUGUAAGUUUGGAUAAUUAGCAGGUUAAUGUGAUACAUCAUUCUGGCAGCAAACUUCUUUUAUACUUAAAAAGAAAAUGGAGCUUCCCUUCAGUCUCUUUGCACUGCAUCCAAUGGGUGAUGGAUGACUUUUUGGACAAGACCAAUUGCAUUGCCAUCAACAGGAAUUUUUUUCCAAAUAUGCAAUAAUUUAGAUCAGGUUUAUCCAUAGACACAUCUUGACUUAAGCCUUGAUCCUGUACCGUACAGACAAAUGAAUGUUUUUCACUGUUUCCACUGAACAAGUUGCAGUCUCAAUCUGACAAAUAAAUGCCUAAUGAGGAGCUCAGGGUUUGGAAGUGGGAUGAACCCUUUCUUUGAUAUAUGUCAGAGUAUUUUCCAGUGAGGACUUGGAGGUGCCUGUCGGACUGCCACCUUGCCUUCCCGGCUUUUUUGGGAAGGGAGAGGAAGCUUGUUUUAGAAGCAGGUUCCCUCUCCUGUCGAGUAAUCAGCCUGUUUGAUCCCAUGACACAUCACAUCAGAUUUACACUUAGAACCAUGCAGAGUUUUCAUUACAGGAAGAGGUUUUUGUACUGUGGACACCUGCAGCAUGUACAAAGGUGAUGUGAAGUGCAUGUGCUAAUUUAAAAUAAUUUCCUGGGUAAUGAACUGGAUCAAAAAUGAAGGAUGGUACUGCCAGUAUUUUUAAUAUGUUGACAUAUUUUUGGGGAAGAACGUGGCCCAUGCUUCCGUUUGUAUCUAUAAUUUAGCGUGACUCAUAACCAGAAGUCUGAACUGUCCUGGUGAAAAGAAAGGAAUGGAUAUUAAGAUUGCAAGUGCCAAGGCAGAUUUUGUAUAUCGAAAGCUGACAGAAAAGAUGAUUUGCAGAGGUUUCAGUAAGUGCAUCAUUAAAUCAUCCUUGGCUCCUUCUCAGAUGUGUAUUUUUUUAAAAAAAACCCCGAUGCUUCUCUAAGCAAAAAUAUAAACAUGUGAAACACUGGAGGUGACUUUCUUGGAAGAAGUGGUUUUUUCCCCACUAAGGAAAUAUAUUUUUUUCUUAAGAUGUCCAAUUGAUUAAUGCCAGACCGCAUGGAAUUACUAAGUGAAAUCCUCAAGAUGUUCUAUUGUUUUUAUAGCACAACUCAGUCACCAGUGUUUUUCUGUAUGUGAAAAUAUUUGGCAGCCUUGUUGACCAGAUAGGCAAUGGUAUGUGAAUUUCACAUUUUAUAUAAAGGCCCUUGGUUUCAUAUUAAAAAUUAGGGGUUUGACAUUCAGCUAAAACAGCGGGUAACUGAUUGCCUUCAUAAUUUCUGUAGAGUGUCAUGAGAAAGGAGAGCCUCGUGCCAUGCUCCACUCCAACAGCCCUGGACAUACAUGCCCGGUUUUCCUGAAGGUAUAUUUGGACACACCAAGCUGCUAAGCCUGGAAUUACCUGUAGCCCAGCCGGCCUCAGCAGCUCUCCCCAUGGCCCAUGCAGAGGCUUCAGUCUGCUCUCCCGGUGUUACAGGCAAGUUCCGUCUUCAUAGCGGAACCUCCCUACUAUGUUUGGCGCGAGCAGCGCUGAGAAACAUACAUAUUGUAUAAAUUCCCUUCUUGAAGCACUACCAGUACUUUGGAUAAGCCACUGUAAAACUACUGGUAUGCAUUUGUUCAUAGUUUGGAAAAUACUGUUUUCAUUACAGUAAACCAAUAUAAACAUCAGCAAUAUUCCUAUCAAACAAAUUAGUUCUCAUGUGAAAUGUAUGGUAAGUAAAUUUGUUGUGUAGCUGAAUACAGUGUUAUUUAAUGGAACUUGAUUUGGUGCCAACUAAACAUAUGGAUCUUUAAAUGCAUUCCCCUUGUGGCUAUGUUGAAAUCAUCCACCAAUAACAUGUGCUGAAUUCCCUUCCAGAUUUGCAGGCUGGCUGCCCUUAUUGUAUGAGGUUUUGAAAUGCAACAAAUAGUAUUGGUGAGGGAGGGGAAUACAGUGCAAGAAUUUCUGUUUUGUUAGUUAUUUUUCAAAAAAAUUUUGCUUGACUAAAGCUUUUCUUCUCCACCCACCCCCCUAGCCCCCUCCUUCCUUUCAGCCUGGAAAAGAGUUUUGUUUUAUCAUCAAAUGCCAUAAAGGUUCUUCGUUUCUUUGAGGAUUUUUGUCUCCAUUUCUCUUCUACUUCUUCCCUUUUUACCAGGGGAAAUCAGUAAAAGGGGAGAUAAAUGGAAGACAGGGAAAUACAGGUAAAUCUUUUUGUCCUUACCUUUUUACAGUAUUAAAAUUAUUACUAUAGGAAUAUAUAUUUAUGGAAAAAAUAUUUUUUCAGAAAACACUGCCUUUUUUUUUUUUCCUUAGUUGUGACAGUCUGUGUUCUAUGACAGGAGGCAGUAUUCAGAAAGCUACUGCAGCUGUCUCGUUUUUAACCACAGAACUGUAAUGUGCUAACAUGAUAGGAUGCAGCAGAAGUAGUAGCGUGGAUCCUGGUCUACCAAACACUUCUGUGCAUGCUUACAUUGAUUGCUGUCUGUACUAGUAUUUGAAAUCAGGGUCAUUCCCUUCUUGCAGUGAAGCAUACACAAGUGUCAGAAAGUCUGAAGUCAGUGUUCCUCCACAGCAAUCAGUGCAUUAAGAUUUGUGCCCAAACGUCAUAUUCAGAGCUCUGCAUGCGUUCAGCUGGUGGCUGGCUGGCCAGACCUGGUAAGGUUACCUGACGGUGGCACGCAGGACUUGCAGGCGUCCAGAAACAGCUUCACAUGCAGCUCCAGGCGCUGGAUGGAGACCACCUUGGAGGGACUUGGCUUUAGAGAGCAGCAGGAAAAUAAAACAUUCUUUCAAUAAAUAAUUAGGAGGACCUGUUAAUGCUAUACGGAGUAGAGCGGAGUUGUCUGUGCCAGUUCCUUCUGUAAAUUGGUGUAGCUCCUUUGGGACCCGUCGAACCGUGCCAAUAUACAUCAGCCAAGGCCCUGACACGAGUGGAGUUACUGGGGGUUUGACCCUGUGCCAGCUGAGGAGCUGCUGCUCCUGGAGAGUACAUCAAGUAGAAGAGGAUGUCGAAGGGGCAAUUCAGUACUGCAAUGAUUUUUAUUUUAUUUUGGGGUUUUUUAAGCCUCAAGAAAACGUAGGUGAAACGGUGGCGUAAUGCUGACAGCUAGAGGGGGGGCACUUGGGUUGCAAUUAAUGCAGCAACAAGUGGCAAGCUGAAAGAUGUUUUUAUUCCCUCAAAAACAAAGUUAGGGGCUAAUUAUAGAUCCACUGAUGUAAUGGGAACAUUCUGACCCACCAUUAUUGUCAUAAUCAUAGUUGUAAGUCUGGUAAAUUUAAAGGUCUGUUUUCCUUGCGUCCUGCAUACAAAUUCCAUUUCAUAACAUUUUGGGCUAUUUCAGGGAGGUUACAGGGCUCUAAAGGUGAUUAAACUCACUCAGUCAUCAGCAGCUUGACUUGUAACCCACUCAAGGACUGCUUAUAAUAGUAUUGCUUCAUUUUGUUAUUUCUCUUGAGGUUCCCUCGACCACAUCUCACCUUCAGCUAAGACAUUUUCAAGUGCCAGCCUGAAAAAUCAAGAGUUCUGCGCAGCUAAUAGGAUCUGCUGUCGAUGUCGUUAAAAUCUUGGCGGGAGGUGGGUAGCGAGGAGAGGAAGCAGUCCAGGGGCAUCGAGCCUUACAUGUUGUCCUCCUGCCACACGGGAUGGAGCAGCGUGUGCGGUGGCGGCGUGUGCUGCGGGGCACCACCCCGAGCAGGACCGAGAACGGGGGGAUCCGCGCGGUUCUGUGACUUUGCUGUGUAAAUCCGAGCUCCGGCAUCACACGUUUGCUGACACACAGACUUUGGGUGCUUUUAUUACCAGGUGAGUGCACCAAGUCUGUCCGUGACCUGAUACUUGGGCCUGCGUUUCUGCAAGAAAACUGUGGCGGUGCCUCAGGCCAUCUCUAGUGACAUCUUCUGAACUGUUUGAAGGUGAAACCCAACUGUCCCUGUAGUCCCUACUGUCACAGAUCACUGAAGCUGAUUUGGUCACCUUUGCUGUGAAAUAUUUUUGAGGUGCUCACCCUGUGUUCUGUUUGGGCUAGGUGGGGAGCGAUAUCUAGUCUCUUCCAAAGGUGUUUUCAUACCGGAGCCCGGUGCUCUCCGUGUCUGCCUGGUGGGAGCGAGCAUGGUUUGGACUCAGAGCAGAACUGUAGCAGGGGCAGGAGCCAAGUGCUUGAGAAUUUCUUCUGCCUGCAGGGGCAUGUCGGGUGAUGGACGGAUGAGAAGGGCAUGGUGUGUCCAGGCAGCAGCAGAGUACCAUGAGCCUGCCAGCGUGCUGCUGGGGUGGCUGGCUGUGGGCAGCUGACAGUCUCGCCCGCUCAGUCAGCAGUAAGCUGGGCUUGCACAAGGCCGAUGCAGAGACAAAACAUCUGGGUCUCAAGUGCCUUUGGGUCUGGUAUUGCAGCCUGAGGUGUGUGGAGUGAGGUGCUGUCAUGGCAGUAUGUGUGGAUGAGAAACGCGGUCCCAGAGGAUUUGACCUUCUAGGAAGAAAAAUGACAUGCACUACUGUUUUGUUUGUGAGAGUUUUUAUCGUUUCUCUUUUUUCUUUUUUUUUAUGGAUCAAAACCAAUGUAUAAUAUGGUGAGGCAGGAUAACGUUUGAAGUUGACAGUCAAUACCUGGGAAGCAGAUAAGAGAGGUACAAGCAUGAUGCAAUCCAAUGAGACGUGGCUGAGAGAGGGUGAGGGAGGACAGCAGUAGUGGUGAAUAACCUUCAGGGGAAAGACCCUGGGGGCCAUAACCUCAGUUCAGAGAAUAUGUAAAACUUACAGGGGCCAAAGGGGGAGUAGAAAAUGUCAGAAGCCUUCCAGAGCAGCAGAAGGUUAUGAUCUGUUCCCCAGCCACUGCUUGGAGAUAAGCUUCUCUUUGGGACAGAUUCAGCAAUAUUUACAAUUUAUGUGAUGUGCAUAAAAUAAAAUGCUUUGUCCGCUGAUCCUUUAGCCAAAUGCAGAACACAGUCAGAAGCUUUGCAAAGCUGAAUAUCUUAAAUUAUAAAUCAACUUUUUUACACUGUAUUGAAAUUACUGUAAACUCCCAGCCUUUGUGAUAAGCUACCACAGAAGGGAUUAGAAGCCAGCAAAUAUUUCUGGCUAAUAAACUCUGAAGAUACUCCUAAUUUUUUCCCAAAAGACUGAAAAAAAUUGAUUCCCAAAUUCUGUUCAAACUGGUGUAGAUAGCUCCGGUGCCUUGGUUUUAUAGGGCAAACUCCUUAGGUAAAUGAUAGAAGAUUGCUAGUUAAAAGACACUUGAAAUUAUAUUAGUUUAGCAAAGUGAAACAAAAGUUAUACUGUAAGCAAGAGAAACUACUCAGUUUAGUUUCUCUGUCCCAAUUAAAAUGUGGAAAGUAAACCAACUGCAUAAUAGCAAAAAUGCAGAGCUAAAACCUCUUGUUGUUUUGUUGCAAAUUCCAUAAUUUUACGUAUUUCAUCAGCCCUUAGCUCAUAUAGAUUCAUGAUUAUGUGAGAAUUUUUGCUUAUUAGCGUUUUGGUUUUAGUCUGAAUUGCAGCGAAACUGGAAACAUGCUCUAAAACCUCUGGAAAUACAAAGCAAAGGAAAAAAAAAAAACCUACCGUCAAAUGAUCUUUAGUAAAAAAGAUGAUGUGGGGGUUUUUUAAGCUGGUCAUACAACUUCAGGGUAUAUAUCUGAAUGCUAUAUUUCAAUAAAGUGUAUUUGAGUGCUAUGUUUCACCACCAACUUCAAAAUGAUUAUCCAGCCUCAAGAGAAAUAUUUGCUAAGUAAUAUGACCAGGUCAAGACGAGGGUGAUUCCACUGCAUGACUUCACUGCCAUGUGAAUUUACAGGCAUGUAACUUAAAACUUCAUUCUUGCAGAUAAACUUUAGUUUUUUCUUACUCUUUAUGAAGUGAACCUGGAAAGCAUCUGAUCACCAUCCUCCUUACAAUUUAUUAUUUUUUUUCUCAUAUUGGGAAACAGUUGCCACUUACCCAUGAUAUUCUUCUAGAUGAAAUCUGAAGUUCUUCAAUCUUUCCUUAUGUCAUGUUUUGUAGGUCUGUGUAAGUUUUAUUGUUCUGCUGUGGUUUACUCCUUUCUAAUGCGUGAUGCUCGAAUUGGCUAGAGUAUUGUGGAUGAGACCUUUCCAUUGCAAAGUUGCACAGAAUAACUACUGCCUGUCUCUUAGGAAUAAUGUUCACAUUUUUAACACAAGCCAAAAAGACCAGUGCCCUCUUGCAGCAUAAUGGUAUUGACAUGUAUUUGCUUUGUCAUCUGCUAUAACCCCAGAUUCUCCUGUUCGUCCAUAUUUUGUAAUAGUAAAAAAAGUGACAUAAAAUGAUCUUUUCCUUUUUUUUUUAAUGAUCUAGCUUAAGAAUAAGCAAAUUCAAUUUAACAUUUAACUCCCCUCUAUUAAAAAAAAGGGGGGGGGGUGAGAGUUAGUUUUUGGGUGGAGAGCUUUUAUUUCUAGUUUCAUCCCAAGCAAAUUUUUAUGGCUGAGUUAUAAACCCCUGAAAAUUGCAGUUCAUAAUGGAAACAUUGGCAGACCCUGAACGGCGCCGCUGUAAAGUAGUAUGAAGCUUUAAGUUUUUCCACUUUUAGACCUGGAAUAAAACUAAAUUACAACACUUUCCGUAGAGGCAUUUGAUUUUCCCCCCAGUAAUUUCUGCUGGAUCUGUCCAGUGUUUCCUGACUUCCUAUGUUGUCAUUGGACUUUUUCUUAUUGACUAGGCAGUUCGUUUCAUUCGAUCGGUAGAUUCACCAGUGGAGAUACCCAAAAAGUGUUGUUUACUGGGGCAGAGUGUGCUAGGAAACGUAGUGCUGGCUUGGAGCAAGUUACAGUGCGGAUUUAUGGAAGAAAUCUACAGCAAAUAGGGCUGGAAUGAGUGUUGUGGGACUCACAAAACACCUGAAAUGAUAAGGGUCCCCACAAUGUUGUUCUGCAGGAUAGAAAUGUUCUUCCAGAUUCCAUCCAAACCCAUUGCCGAAGUGGAUGCAAAGGCGCUCUGAGAAGAGAAUAUCAAGGUUGUUUUCCUCUCCCAAGGCAGGAGAAAUAGAUUAGCAAUAUGAUUUUUCAUAGCGCUGCAGUAUGCUAGGGUAUUCCAGCAGGAGCAGUUUUAUCUGAAAGUGGAUGUGAAAACAAAAGGCAGAAUGGAAGUCAGCAAGUGGACAGGGCUUUUUUCUGGAAUUAUUCCUGGAGUCAUUUCUCAUACUGGCGCAGGCUGCAGGAAGCCAAAGAUCAACGUGUGGGUUAUUUAUAACCAUUUUCUAAAUUACUUCAGUGCAAAUGAUCUGUUUAGCUACUUCAGUCCUUAGGGCAAGAGUUGCAAUGCCACUCGUUUGGUCCCUACGGGGCGGGGGGCAAAUUAUGGAACCAAGGCAUAAGCAAAUAACGUACCCUUGCUUUUCUCUUUUGGGUCUCUCCUUGAAGAUGAAAUUUUUUUGUUAUUUGUUGUUAUUGCAUCCCAAUGGAUCUGUGGUGGUUCCUGGCACGAACAGCGGAGGGCUAUGAUAUAUUCCUAGCUGGGCUGUAGUUAGCUGCCUUGUCCGGGCAGUUUCGCCUCCAGCCCUGUGACAGCUACCCAGGCUGUCCAGGCAGCUGUAACUUUGGCGUGUGGAUGUUCUCACUGUUUCUGGAGUUCUCCAUGGGCAGCAGGUAAAUUUCUUUCGGUCGUAAUAGGAAUGAUUCUAACGCAAAAUAUAGGAGAGAGGUCCAUGAAAAUCAGCCUUGAGGUCAUAGAUAAAAGUGAUGUCUCCAUCCCCUGGGUGACUGAGAAUCAUUUCCAAAUAGUGGAUUAGCUUAGGCUGGAUUAGCAUUCCUCUUGAACACUUUAUCUAUGUCCAUACUGUUCCUGCACUUGCUUUUUUCUGGAUGUAGCAGCAAAGCCCAAAGUCUGUUGUAGUGAAAAACCCAAUUGUUCUUUCCCAGUCAACUGGAAAAUUUGUGCCUUUAUGAGGGUUUAUAGGAAUGACACUGAGCAACUAAGAAACUGGGCAACUCCGCUUUUCCUUAUUUUCUUCCCUUCUCUACAGCAAAAAAAAGUGGAUUUCAGCACAGAGCAUCACCAAAACAUAAACCGUUCUGUCUGGAUCUGAAAUCCUUUAGGAGAGAAACACCCUCACCCAGCUGUGGCUGAAGAUUGCACCUGCCACUUACCAGCAGUUACAGUAGCUCUUGGAUGGAUGGAAUAAUCUGCUGCUGGAAAAGGUAGUUCUUUUGUUUUCGCUGAGGAGCUGAGCUAUUCCAGGUGAUUUUGUAGGUGAAUUCCAGUAGCUCUUUCUGAAAAACUCUCUGUAGCAUUGAGCCCCCAGUAAAGACAGUGAUAAACUGGAGUGAGGCCAGAGGAGAGGCACGAGUGUGGUUAGGAAGCAAGAGCAUGAGAGGUGCUUGGGGUUGCUGAGGCAGUGGGGUUUGCUGGGUCUGGAGAAGGCUAUGGGUGGGUGAGAGGAUCCAGUUGUCAUCUUCCACUCUCCAAAGGAAGCUUUUGGAGGCAGUGGGAUCAGGCUUUCUGACAGACACAAUGACAAAGGGACAAGAGGUCAUGAUCAGAAGUUCUAAUGAGAGAAAUUUUGUUCGGAUGUGAGGAAUGUAUCCUUCAUCAUAAGAGUGGGUAAGCACCAUGGAAAGUCCCUCCUUGGAGGUUUUUGAACUGCAGCUGGCCCUGAUCUCACCUUGAACCUGGCACUGCUCUGAGGCGGCUGGAGCAGGUGACCUCCUGAGGUCCCUUCCAAACUAAUUUUUUUCUAUGAAUCUGAAUUCAUUUUACAGAGGUAGCAUCCUUAAGGAAGAAGGGAAAAAACCCAACUAAACAAGUACCAGAAUUGAGGAUUUGAGAAACAGGUAUGUAUCUAUAUGACCAACUGAGAGAAAAUAGGUCUCCAGCUGUUUAGUUUUAGCAGUUUAGUUUUCUUUUGGAAAAUAAAAUCAGGAAUAGUCUAGAGUCUGAAAGUGAGAAAUCCAGUUACAAUCAGAAGACCUUAAGAUUUUUAGCUCCUGUUUUUCAAAAGUAAAGCACCAUUAAAAAGAGUAUAUUUCCAUUGCAAAGCAGAGAAUGACUGUAAUGUUUCUUAAUAUGCAUUGAAAAGUACCAAAGUCACAUUCUUCGAGACUCUGUGUGUGUGUAUUAGAUUAUAUAAACUUUGAUUUAUACAUUCCCAGUCACUUAAUGUACAUAGUUUAGCAUUUUAAAAAUCAUGAGCACAGAGUUGUCAUAUAGGAUGUUUUGGAAAACAAAAAUUAUAUGUUGUUAAGAAAAGCUAAGAUGAUCACACUUACUACUGCCUUCUUUUGUUUCCUUCAGCUGAAGCGCAAUUGUGAAGGCAAGAAAUGUGAAGAACUGGCCUUUUGCUGAUAUAUCACCUGUACGGUAAUCAAAGUCUUGUCACUUUGCAUUAGCUUUACUUCAGAGCUUACCAAAAAGAUCGCCUGCCCUGUAAAACAGCCUAACUUGACCAGAUCACCAGCUAACCAGAGGCAGCAGUAGCUGUUGCUCCAUGAUGCUCCUUGUGGAGCUUCUGCUGCAGGAAGCCGGGAGGCAGAUUUGGGAUCAGAAACCAGGUCUUCUGUACUCUGGGUUAGCCCAGCUCGCUUUUCUCUGUCUCACUUAGGGCAUUUGUUGUAAAUAUAAGAACCAAAACCAAAAGCAGAUAACCUGGGGUUGUAGGAUCCUGAUUGUUUUUAAACACUGAUAAGGGCACUUUGUAAGAUCAGCUUCUGAUUUGUAGCUGUUUACAUUUGGAAGAGACUGAGAGAUGCUAAUGUCCCUUCUGGCAUUCAUAGCUAUUUUGCUUUCUGGAGAUUUGUGGGUUUUACAUGGCAUAAGAUCAAGCCAUAACAACGCUGUGACAGACAGGGUUGUUGUUGAGGUACAGAAUGAGUCUUUCUGCUCCAAACACGUUGCUUGCUUUGCAAGUCAGUGUCUGCUCACUCCAGUGACUCCUUUUGCAUAAGGGUCAUCACUUCAGAUGUAGGAUUCUGGAAAAAAAAAAAUAAAUAAAUACACAGUUGGGUUGCAUCUGUGAGUUGAUGAAAGAAAGCUCUGAGUUGGGAUUUCUUUUAUGCUCAGGUAGGCUUUUUCCUGCACCAUAGAUGUCCUCAAAAGACAAGCAAACAUAGUCUCUGUUAUUAAGCCAAAAGGAGCAGAUAAAUCUGACAAAUUUUGCUUUUCUGCUGUUUUUCUCUUCUUGGUUUAUAAAAGGUCACAGUGUGAACCACUUCAAUGCCUUCCACUGUUUUCUUUUACAUUUUAUAGUGCUUGCAUGAUCUCAGUGAGGGAGCGUAUUUAUUGUGCAUGCCAUUCAGUUUAGAUUCAACUGCAGCACAUGAUUACAGCAACUUAGAGGAAAAAAACUGGAAAAUAAGUCCCUGAUGUAAAACUGGUAACUGAGCCAAAACAGUAGUGCCAGUUAUUUCAAUGCCUCACAGAGUGAUUUACGAAUUCACUGCAAACACAUUUAACAAUUUAUUGGGACAACUGUGCAUAUUAACCAGCGCUCUCGAAACCUUGGAUGCAAACCUCUUUUGAUGAUAAUUUUUCCUUUUAAUAUUUUACAGAGAGGCAUUAGAAGGUGACAGUAGGGAAAGCUCAUGUUUGCAUCAUGCCUUUCAGUGAGUUUAUCCCCACAGUCUCCACUGUAUUAUUUUAUUUGGGAAAAGACAUGCAAUGUCUCCUGGAAGAAUGAAUACCCACAGGACUGAUCUGAAUCCUACAGAUACUUAGUAAGCUGAGACAUAACGCAUUUUUCUCACACGUGUGUUGCACAUGCCUGUGCCUACGUGGCUUUUAGGCUGCUGAAGAACAUGAGAAGCAAUUUGUAGCUGGCACUGCUGUCUUCCAGCCUUUGCCUGCUCUUUCCCAAUUUGCACAGAUUAAACCUGCGGGAUUUACAAGGAAGGACACAGAUGAAUGGAAGGUGGCAAGUAAGGACAAAAUUUUUAGGAAGUGUCUCCCAACUUCCUGACGUUACAGCACCUCACCUUUUAUUUUAGGCAGGCGUUUACUUACCUUUAUAAUGGUUUCUAUCACAAGCCUCUUGUCCAAGAAAGGCAUUUCCAAGUCGUGCUUGUGUUGGUAAAUGCAGAAGCUCUGUCAAACCUUUCAAACCAUGUAUGAGACACCAAAAAUACCUUUUUGCUGGAGAAAAUUAUAGCUGCCGUCUUCCUACUAAAACUGCAGGGAGGCAUGACUAGAUGCCACCUAAAAUGUUUUAGAGGUAAAUGGAAUUAAUGAAAGCCCCAGUGUUUUGCUUUAUGAUCAGUUUAGAGGCUGAGAGAUGCAGUAGCUCGGAUUUUUUUUAUCUAAUAAGGUCCCAUCCCACAGCCUUAUCUAUAUGCUGGUAAGGUAAUGCAGAGCAAAGUGCCAGCACAAAGUAGGUAGUAAGAACUAUCCUAAGGGUUGUAGAAGGAGGUUGGAAGGAAGGACUUGUUUUUCACACAAUGCGAAAGCUUGAUCUUUGCCAUCCCAUCUGGCUGGUUACUUGCAAAUAAAGUAGAUACCAUUAUAAACACUUUAGGGAGAUGUUCUAAAUUUUGUAAAUGUUCAGUGGGGCUUGGGUGGUAACAGCAGUACAAAAGCUGCCUUUACUCUCACUGCAUAUAUACUGCAUGUGUCUAGGGCUCAAGUAUCUCGAUCCUGUUGCAUAUCUAUUUUUAAAAGCUAUAUUUUUUUUAUAGCUUACAUACAGACUCUCCAAUGCACAUUUACAUGCUACAAUGAGGUCAUUUUUCUGGAUAAUUGGGAAAGUUAAGUAAUUGCUUUAAAAAGUAAACAUUUCUUUUAACAUCCAUGAAGCAAGUCUUAGAGCUGUUUGAUACCUAUACUCCUGAAAUUAAACAGUGGUUUACAUCAACAUGAAAUCCAUCUUGAGCUAUCCUAUGAUGUCAUAUGGCACUGCCAGGACACAUGCAGGCGGCUUCAAUACCCUUCAUUCAUGAUGGGGAGCCUCAUUGUGAUUUCAUUUUUCCCUCAGACAGCUAAAGGCAAUAUAUAAAAUCUGGUAUCCAUAUGAUUUGUGUGUAUUUGUAGUGUACCUGUUGACAGCUUAAGACACCAGUGGGACAGACUGGCAGAGUUUUCUCUCCAUCUUUUAUUGCCUUUAUGCUCUCCAAAGCAUGACCUUGUGGCUUUAAAGUAAUUUACCUGUUGGUGUACUCAUGUGGCAGCAAGUUACUUUGAAACACCUUCCCCUCACCCACCCCUUGGUUGGUUUGGGGGUUUUUUGUUGUUUGUUUUCGGUGUGUGUGUGGUUGUGUUUGUUUAGGACCAAACAGAACGAUCUUGGUCUGUGUCUAGGUUUCUUUAUUUUAUGUGGUUUAGGGUCAUAAUUUCUCAUUUCAACCCUGGUGGUGAUUGCAGCUUCUAAGCUAGUAUGCCUAGCUUUCUUUGGAGCACUUUAGUACCUUCUUCCAUAGAAUUUCCCAUAGACCUUUCCCAAUUCAUCAGUCUCUGGAUAAGAUUUAACUAUAAGAUCAAGAUUUGUCUUUGCACAUCAAAAAUGUUGAUUCUGGAAUUACUGCUUCUAAAUUAGCAACACAAUCCAAUCGCUUCUUUGCUUCCACCUACUCUCUAGUUUUUACUACCUUAUGUCAUUUGCCAAACUCAGACUCAAGGUCCAUCGGACUCAUCUUUUUGUCAUCUCACAGUCUGAUGACCCAAACUCUGACUGGGAUGUCUGUUCAUUAUUUCUACUGUGGUUAUUCACAGUAAACUGCAGCAUUCAAGUCAGUGAGACAGGAAUGAAUUAGGGUAGCAAAAACCCAAACACCAGUUUGAUAAGAGAGGGGUAAAGUUUGUGAUCUAAAGAUGAAAAGGAACAGAUUUUAAAUGUUCUUGCCGUAAAGAUGGG